AGCGCUUGUGCUUCAUUAACCAACUCCUCAUCUCCUUUUCUCUUCGCAAGAAGACAAAUUAAUUAGGGUUUUGUUUCCUUAUUAGUUAGUUCUAGGGUUUCCGCUGCCUCAUUUCUGGGGUUUCAGCAUCAGAGCGAAGACGCGUCUUGGCGAAAGGAAUUGGGCUUCUGGGCAAAGGGAAAUUUCGUGGGCAAAAUUCGAUGUCAAUCACGAAAAGGACAGAAUUGGCGUGGAUUUCGGGCGAAGACGAUUUUUUUAAGAAACUUGGUAAUGGCAAGAAGAAUUGAACAACGGGGAGAUACUCGAAUCUGGGAUUGAUCAUCGUGCAGAUCAUAGUGGAGAAGUUAGAUAUCUUCACAAAGGUGUGUAUUUAAACAAGGACCUUCUCUCUAACAAAAACUAGCACAACAGGUCAGCUAGCAAAUGGCUAGUAUUUGGCGCUACCUCUGUCAACGACUACCACUGGUGUGCCCACCGUGCACGCACCGCCACACACACUACUGUAUGCCUCUGCAGUGGUCCUUCACUGUAGCGCACUCCUGCACCUCCAUGGUUCGCUGCUACAUGUGAAUCUGAGUCCAUUGUGCCUCACUUUGAACUACUGCACCAGCCGCCACUUGCCGUUUGUCGGCCCAUUGGAGCCACCACAGACACCAUGUGGAUUGUCACCUCUAUGACGUCCUUGUUUUUCUUUCUUUAUUUGAAGAAUCGGAAGUCAAUUAUACAGAAGGCCGAUACCUUCACAAAGGCUGUUCAAUCUUCAUAACAGCAGCUGGCUAUCUACCUAAGGUUGAGUUCUCAACAUGUCUCUGUUCCUGACAACAAGUUGCCCAAAAGCCUCAUCAUUCCAUUCAACUUCUGCUGUUUAAAGGACAUGGUUCAAAGGGGCUUGUUUCAUUUGGGAGAUUGAGAAUGAGUUUGAAUACAAUGAAAGAACCUAAAAAUAAAAGAAAAAGCUGAGACAUGAAAGAUAAUUGUGUGUAAAUACACACACACACACACACACACAACCAAUAUUCCCUUGAAAGCCAUUGAUCUGAUAUAUAUACAACAGAUAUUCCCUUGAAAGCCAUUGAUAUGCAUGAAAAUGUAGUAGGUAUUUAAUUUAAUAUUGAUAUAAAUUAUUUUAUAUAUACACAACCAUGUCCUCGUACCCUACAUUUUACAAAUUUGUCGUGUCCCGUACCCGUACCCGUGUCUAUGCAACAUAGAUGUUCACCACCACAACCUCCCUCACCUUCACCGGCUGUUCCACCGGCCUCCAAGUAUCCCCUCUCCAUCACUGCAUCCGAAAUAGCUGUUAAGUUGCGGCUUCCAUCCAUGUUCACCACCACAACCUCCCUCAC
Molecule: long non-coding RNA, 1346 nt
Organism: Asparagus officinalis (garden asparagus)
Lineage: Eukaryota; Viridiplantae; Streptophyta; Magnoliopsida; Asparagales; Asparagaceae
Exons: 7
Source: RefSeq, a predicted model, not a curated record